UAAUCGCAGGUCAAGUCUUACAAA
Molecule: non-coding RNA, 24 nt
Filed under: Arabidopsis thaliana (thale cress)
Lineage: Eukaryota; Viridiplantae; Streptophyta; Magnoliopsida; Brassicales; Brassicaceae
Source: RNAcentral